RNAcentral lists this ribosomal RNA (477 nucleotides) under uncultured bacterium. Its description in RNAcentral is "partial 16S ribosomal RNA". It matches the Rfam family "Bacterial small subunit ribosomal RNA", at positions 28 to 523 of the family's 1533-position model. The record is from RNAcentral.
GACGAACGCUGGCGGCGUGCUUAACACAUGCAAGUCGAACGGUAAGGCCCUUCGGGGUACACGAGUGGCGAACGGGUGAGUAACACGUGGGUGAUCUGCCCUGCACUUCGGGAUAAGCCUGGGAAACUGGGUCUAAUACCGGAUAGGACUCCGGACUGCAUGGUCUGGGGUGGAAAGCUUUUCGGUUUGGGAUGGGCCCGCGGCCUAUCAGCUUGGUGGUGAGGUAACGGCUCACCAAGGCUACGACGGGUAACCGGCCUGAGAGGGCGACCGGUCACACUGGGACUGAGACACGGCCCAGACUCCUACGGGAGGCAGCAGUGGGGAAUAUUGCGCAAUGGGCGAAAGCCUGACGCAGCGACGCCGCGUGAGGGAUGAAGGUCUUCGGAUCGUAAACCUCUUUCAGUAGGGACGAAGCGAAAGUGACGGUACCUAAAGAAGAAGCACCGGCUAACUACGUGCCAGCCGCCGCAGUAA